AGACCCGAAACCCGGUGAUCUAGCCAUGGGCAGGUUGAAGGUUGGGUAACACUAACUGGAGGACCGAACCGACUAAUGUUGAAAAAUUAGCGGAUGACCUGUGGCUGGGGGUGAAAGGCCAAUCAAACCGGGAGAUAGCUGGUUCUCCCCGAAAGCUAUUUAGGUAGCGCCUCGUGAAUUCAUCUCCGGGGGUAGAGCACUGUUUCGGCUAGGGGGCCAUCCCGGCUUACCAACCCGAUGCAAACUGCGAAUACCGGAGAAUGUUAUCACGGGAGACACACGGCGGGUGCUAACGUCCGUCGUGAAGAGGGAAACAACCCAGACCGCCAGCUAAGGUCCCAAAGUCAUGGUUAAGUGGGAAACGAUGUGGGAAGGCCCAGACAGCCAGGAUGUUGGCUUAGAAGCAGCCAUCAUUUAAAGAAAGCGUAAUAGCUCACUGGUCGAGUCGGCCUGCGCGGAAGAUGUAACGGGGCUAAACCAUGCACCGAAGCUGCGGCAGCGAACGUAUCACUUAAAGCGAUUCAGCGGGUUACGAUUGACGGAGCGAAGCGACGUCAAAGCGUAUACAAAGUCGAGUCGGUUUAAGGAUACGUUCGUUGGGUAGGGGAGCGUUCUGUAAGCCUGUGAAGGUGUGUCGUGAGGCAUGCUGGAGG
This 653-nucleotide ribosomal RNA is filed under the name Salmonella enterica subsp. enterica serovar Infantis. Its description in RNAcentral is "partial 23S ribosomal RNA". It matches the Rfam family "Bacterial large subunit ribosomal RNA", at positions 711 to 1279 of the family's 2925-position model. Lineage: Bacteria; Pseudomonadati; Pseudomonadota; Gammaproteobacteria; Enterobacterales; Enterobacteriaceae. The record is from RNAcentral.